RNAcentral lists this ribosomal RNA (621 nucleotides) under Psathyrella cf. gracilis UBC F14297. Its description in RNAcentral is "eukaryotic LSU rRNA". It matches the Rfam family "Eukaryotic large subunit ribosomal RNA", at positions 1 to 621 of the family's 3401-position model. Lineage: Eukaryota; Fungi; Basidiomycota; Agaricomycetes; Agaricales; Psathyrellaceae. The record is from RNAcentral.
UUGACCUCAAAUCAGGUAGGACUACCCGCUGAACUUAAGCAUAUCAAUAAGCGGAGGAAAAGAAACUAACAAGGAUUCCCCUAGUAACUGCGAGUGAAGCGGGAAAAGCUCAAAUUUAAAAUCUGGUGGUCUCCGGCCAUCCGAGUUGUAAUCUAGAGAAGUGUUACCCGCGUCGGACCGUGUACAAGUCUCCUGGAAUGGAGCGUCAUAGAGGGUGAGAAUCCCGUCUUUGACACGGACUACCGAGGCUUUGUGGUGCGCUCUCAAAGAGUCGAGUUGUUUGGGAAUGCAGCUCAAAAUGGGUGGUAAAUUCCAUCUAAAGCUAAAUAUUGGCGAGAGACCGAUAGCGAACAAGUACCGUGAGGGAAAGAUGAAAAGAACUUUGGAAAGAGAGUUAAACAGUACGUGAAAUUGCUGAAAGGGAAACGCUUGAAGUCAGUCGCGUUGGCCGGAAAUCAGCCUUGCUUUUGCGGGGUGUACUUUCUGGUUGACGGGCCAGCAUCAGUUUUGACCGGUGGAAAAAGUCCAAGGGAAUGUGGCAUCUUCGGAUGUGUUAUAGCCCUUGUUCGUAUACAUCGAUUGGGACUGAGGAACUCAGCACGCCGAAAGGCCGGGUCUUCA